Long non-coding RNA from Exaiptasia diaphana, 540 nucleotides. RefSeq lists it as uncharacterized. The transcript is spliced from 4 exons. The record is from RefSeq and is a predicted model, not a curated record. NCBI's taxonomy places the organism in Eukaryota, Metazoa, Cnidaria, Anthozoa, Actiniaria, Aiptasiidae.
CUCGGCAAAACGAAAUUCAGCAGCCGUCAUUUGAAGAUUUGCAACCUUUUGAAGCUUUCAUUCGUGGCUCGUGUAGAAAAAGACUUUCGACAGGAAACUCGGCAAAACGAGAGUUUAAAUAGUAUCAACCGCAAUGAAGGCUACAAUACUGAUCAUUUUUGGGGUUUGUGCUUCCCUCUGUUUGGCCAAAAGUAAAGUGUCUCAGGAUGACGAUUUGGCUGCUGCAAAUUACUUGAUUGAUCUUGUGACGAAAGCAGAUAGGGCAGUAAAGCGUGGCAUCCCUUGUAGAUGCAGUGAUAGAUCUGAUGUUCUGGAUGGAGAACAGUCAUAUAUUGGUGGAGACUGUGGUGGCGGAUGGAAAAAAUGCAAUAUUGUCAAUGCGCUUUUCAACUGUUGUCAAAAAGCAUAAAAUCAAUUAAAAGGAGUGAAAUAAAGCUCAUCAGGAUUGACGCUGACUUCUGUGUUACUAAAAUAAUACUGAAUAAUAAUAAUCAUGGAUAUGAUAAUAAUAUCGAUAAUUAAAGUAUUGUAAACCUGAAA